RNAcentral lists this unclassified non-coding RNA (353 nucleotides) under soil metagenome. RNAcentral describes it as "partial contains 5.8S ribosomal RNA, internal transcribed spacer 2, and large subunit ribosomal RNA". The stretch from base 1 to 120 matches the Rfam family "5.8S ribosomal RNA", at positions 35 to 154 of the family's 154-position model. The record is from RNAcentral.
GAUGAAGAACGUAGCGAAAUGCGAUAAGUAAUGUGAAUUGCAGAAUUCAGUGAAUCAUCGAAUCUUUGAACGCACAUUGCGCCCGCCAGUAUUCUGGCGGGCAUGCCUGUUCGAGCGUCAUUACAACCCUCAGGCCCCCGGGCCUGGCGUUGGGGAUCGGCGGAAGCCCCCUGCGGGCACAACGCCGUCCCCCAAAUACAGUGGCGGUCCCGCCGCAGCUUCCAUUGCGUAGUAGCUAACACCUCGCAACUGGAGAGCAGCGCGGCCACGCCGUAAAACACCCAACUUCUGAAUGUUGACCUCGAAUCAGGUAGGAAUACCCGCUGAACUUAAGCAUAUCAAUAAGCGGAGGA